GUAGUUUGAGAGGCGGUGAAGCUACUACGAUGUUUAUUAAAGAAAGCUCGAAUUUCAGCAGGAGUGGAAGACCAUCUACGACGUCUAGCUUUUUCCAAUGGUACUACCGGUAAACCCACCUCUUGAUGACAACCUCUUAUAGGAGAAAUUGGCAGAAUGUUGGGUACUAAAGUGUUAAAAAUGGCAGUGGAAUAUUAUUCGCGGACAGACGGUGAAGUAUUCAAGGAAUGGGGAUAAGGUAAUCUGGUCGAGGACAUCAACAAUUUCCUCUUGUAAAUCAGGAAAACAUUGUCGACUACUCGUACGUGAGGUAUUUGAGUGCUCGCUAAAACUUCCUGAAGUCUUCGGUUCUCUUCUAUCAACGAUCGGUAUUGCUGAAACAAAAAACAAAAAUGACGAAAUCAGUUAACG
Bombus impatiens (common eastern bumble bee) is the source of this 411-nucleotide long non-coding RNA. RefSeq lists it as uncharacterized. NCBI's taxonomy places the organism in Eukaryota, Metazoa, Arthropoda, Insecta, Hymenoptera, Apidae. The record is from RefSeq and is a predicted model, not a curated record. The transcript has 3 exons.